UACGUAGGUGGCAAGCGUUAUCCGGAAUUAUUGGGCGUAAAGCGCGCGCAGGCGGUUUCUUAAGGCUGAUGUGAAAGCCCACGGCUCAACCGUGGAGGGUCAUUGGAAACUGGGGAACUUGAGUGCAGAAGAGAAAAGCGGAAUUCCACGUGUAGCGGUGAAAUGCGUAGAGAUGUGGAGGAACACCAGUGGCGAAGGCGGCUUUUUGGUCUGUAACUGACGCUGAGGCGCGAAAGCGUGGGGAGCGAUCCGG
This 253-nucleotide ribosomal RNA is filed under the name uncultured bacterium. Its description in RNAcentral is "partial 16S ribosomal RNA". It matches the Rfam family "Bacterial small subunit ribosomal RNA", at positions 524 to 776 of the family's 1533-position model. The record is from RNAcentral.